CCUUGUGUCAGUAUUUUCCAGGCUGACCAGGCUCAUACAGGGCUGAGCCUGGUUAGUACCUGGAUGGAAGACCUCCUGGGAAAACUAGGUUGCUGCUGGAA
This 101-nucleotide ribosomal RNA is filed under the name Sinocyclocheilus anshuiensis. The record is from RNAcentral. Lineage: Eukaryota; Metazoa; Chordata; Actinopteri; Cypriniformes; Cyprinidae.